GGGUUGUGAGGUUAAGCGACUAAGCGUACACGGUGGAUGCCCUGGCAGUCAGAGGCGAUGAAGGACGUGCUAAUCUGCGAUAAGCGCCGGUAAGGUGAUAUGAACCGUUAUAACCGGCGAUUUCCGAAUGGGGAAACCCAGUGUGAUUCGUCACACUAUCAUUAACUGAAUCCAUAGGUUAAUGAGGCGAACCGGGGGAACUGAAACAUCUAAGUACCCCGAGGAAAAGAAAUCAACCGAGAUUCCCCCAGUAGCGGCGAGCGAACGGGGAGGAGCCCAGAGCCUGAAUCAGCAUGUGUGUUAGUGGAAGCGUCUGGAAAGGCGCGCGAUACAGGGUGACAGCCCCGUACACAAAAGCGCAUGUGCUGUGAGCUCGAUGAGUAGGGCGGGACACGUGGUAUCCUGUCUGAAUAUGGGGGGACCAUCCUCCAAGGCUAAAUACUCCUGACUGACCGAUAGUGAACCAGUACCGUGAGGGAAAGGCGAAAAGAACCCCGGCGAGGGGAGUGAAAAAGAACCUGAAACCGUGUACGUACAAGCAGUGGGAGCACAGGUUUACCUGUGUGACUGCGUACCUUUUGUAUAAUGGGUCAGCGACUUAUAUUCUGUAGCAAGGUUAACCGUAUAGGGGAGCCGUAGGGAAACCGAGUCUUAACCGGGCGUUAAGUUGCAGGGUAUAGACCCGAAACCCGGUGAUCUAGCCAUGGGCAGGUUGAAGGUUGGGUAACACUAACUGGAGGACCGAACCGACUAAUGUUGAAAAAUUAGCGGAUGACCUGUGGCUGGGGGUGAAAGGCCAAUCAAACCGGGAGAUAGCUGGUUCUCCCCGAAAGCUAUUUAGGUAGCGCCUCGUGAAUUCAUCUCCGGGGGUAGAGCACUGUUUCGGCUAGGGGGCCAUCCCGGCUUACCAACCCGAUGCAAACUGCGAAUACCGGAGAAUGUUAUCACGGGAGACACACGGCGGGUGCUAACGUCCGUCGUGAAGAGGGAAACAACCCAGACCGCCAGCUAAGGUCCCAAAGUCAUGGUUAAGUGGGAAACGAUGUGGGAAGGCCCAGACAGCCAGGAUGUUGGCUUAGAAGCAGCCAUCAUUUAAAGAAAGCGUAAUAGCUCACUGGUCGAGUCGGCCUGCGCGGAAGAUGUAACGGGGCUAAACCAUGCACCGAAGCUGCGGCAGCGAACGUAUCACUUAAAGCGAUUCAGCGGGUUACGAUUGACGGAGCGAAGCGACGUCAAAGCGUAUACAAAGUCGAGUCGGUUUAAGGAUACGUUCGUUGGGUAGGGGAGCGUUCUGUAAGCCCGUGAAGGUGGCCUGUGAGGGUUGCUGGAGGUAUCAGAAGUGCGAAUGCUGACAUAAGUAACGAUAAAGCGGGUGAAAAGCCCGCUCGCCGGAAGACCAAGGGUUCCUGUCCAACGUUAAUCGGGGCAGGGUGAGUCGACCCCUAAGGCGAGGCCGAAAGGCGUAGUCGAUGGGAAACGGGUUAAUAUUCCCGUACUUGGUGUUACUGCGAAGGGGGGACGGAGAAGGCUAUGUUGGCCGGGCGACGGUUGUCCCGGUUUAAGCGUGUAGGUGUGUGUUCCAGGUAAAUCCGGUUCACUUUAACACUGAGGCGUGACGACGAGGCACUACGGUGCUGAAGCAACAAAUGCCCUGCUUCCAGGAAAAGCCUCUAAGCAUCAGGUAACACGAAAUCGUACCCCAAACCGACACAGGUGGUCAGGUAGAGAAUACCAAGGCGCUUGAGAGAACUCGGGUGAAGGAACUAGGCAAAAUGGUGCCGUAACUUCGGGAGAAGGCACGCUGACACGUAGGUGAAGUGAUUUACUCAUGGAGCUGAAGUCAGUCGAAGAUACCAGCUGGCUGCAACUGUUUAUUAAAAACACAGCACUGUGCAAACACGAAAGUGGACGUAUACGGUGUGACGCCUGCCCGGUGCCGGAAGGUUAAUUGAUGGGGUCAGCGCAAGCGAAGCUCCUGAUCGAAGCCCCGGUAAACGGCGGCCGUAACUAUAACGGUCCUAAGGUAGCGAAAUUCCUUGUCGGGUAAGUUCCGACCUGCACGAAUGGCGUAAUGAUGGCCAGGCUGUCUCCACCCGAGACUCAGUGAAAUUGAACUCGCUGUGAAGAUGCAGUGUACCCGCGGCAAGACGGAAAGACCCCGUGAACCUUUACUAUAGCUUGACACUGAACAUUGAGCCUUGAUGUGUAGGAUAGGUGGGAGGCUUUGAAGUGUGGACGCCAGUCUGCAUGGAGCCGACCUUGAAAUACCACCCUUUAAUGUUUGAUGUUCUAACGUGGACCCGUAAUCCGGGUUGCGGACAGUGUCUGGUGGGUAGUUUGACUGGGGCGGUCUCCUCCUAAAGAGUAACGGAGGAGCACGAAGGUUGGCUAAUCCUGGUCGGACAUCAGGAGGUUAGUGCAAUGGCAUAAGCCAGCUUGACUGCGAGCGUGACGGCGCGAGCAGGUGCGAAAGCAGGUCAUAGUGAUCCGGUGGUUCUGAAUGGAAGGGCCAUCGCUCAACGGAUAAAAGGUACUCCGGGGAUAACAGGCUGAUACCGCCCAAGAGUUCAUAUCGACGGCGGUGUUUGGCACCUCGAUGUCGGCUCAUCACAUCCUGGGGCUGAAGUAGGUCCCAAGGGUAUGGCUGUUCGCCAUUUAAAGUGGUACGCGAGCUGGGUUUAGAACGUCGUGAGACAGUUCGGUCCCUAUCUGCCGUGGGCGCUGGAGAACUGAGGGGGGCUGCUCCUAGUACGAGAGGACCGGAGUGGACGCAUCACUGGUGUUCGGGUUGUCAUGCCAAUGGCACUGCCCGGUAGCUAAAUGCGGAAGAGAUAAGUGCUGAAAGCAUCUAAGCACGAAACUUGCCCCGAGAUGAGUUCUCCCUGAGACUUAGAGUCUCCUGAAGGAACGUUGAAGACGACGACGUUGAUAGGCCGGGUGUGUAAGCGCAGCGAUGCGUUGAGCUAACCGGUACUAAUGAACCGUGAGGCUUAACCUUACAACGCCGAAG
This 3010-nucleotide ribosomal RNA is filed under the name Salmonella enterica subsp. enterica serovar 1,4,[5],12:i:-. RNAcentral describes it as "23S ribosomal RNA". It matches the Rfam family "Bacterial large subunit ribosomal RNA". The record is from RNAcentral. Lineage: Bacteria; Pseudomonadati; Pseudomonadota; Gammaproteobacteria; Enterobacterales; Enterobacteriaceae.